This is a long non-coding RNA of Daucus carota subsp. sativus, 305 nucleotides long. RefSeq lists it as uncharacterized. The transcript has 3 exons. The record is from RefSeq and is a predicted model, not a curated record. NCBI's taxonomy places the organism in Eukaryota, Viridiplantae, Streptophyta, Magnoliopsida, Apiales, Apiaceae.
GUAGAGAAUCUUUCAAAGUCAAAUCCCGGCCUUCAGACUUUGACAAGUAUUGAUUUGACCCCUUCAAGCUGGAUGUGUGUGGCCUGGUACCCUAUUUGUCAAAUCCCGAAUAUUGGGAUACCUAUCAAGGACUUUGAGGCUGCUUUUCUGACAUUUCAUACCAUAUCCUCAUUCUACCAGGAUUUUCACCAAGAAGGUAUGAGCAGUUCUGGUGUUCAGAGCAGUCCAUCAAUAUCUCUACCACCAUUUGGGUGUGCAACCUAUAAGGUUCAAGGGGACAUCUGGUUUAAUCAUGGGCAUUCAGA